AACGAACGCUGGCGGCAGGCUUAACACAUGCAAGUCGAGCGCCCCGCAAGGGGAGCGGCAGACGGGUGAGUAACGCGUGGGAACGUACCUUUUGGUUCGGAACAACUCCGGGAAACUGGAGCUAAUACCGGAUAAGCCCUAACGGGGAAAGAUUUAUCGCCGAAAGAUCGGCCCGCGUCUGAUUAGCUAGUUGGUGAGGUAACGGCUCACCAAGGCGACGAUCAGUAGCUGGUCUGAGAGGAUGAUCAGCCACACUGGGACUGGGACACGGCCCAGACUCCUACGGGAGGCAGCAGUGGGGAAUAUUGGACAAUGGGCGCAAGCCUGAUCCAGCCAUGCCGCGUGAGUGAUGAAGGCCUUAGGGUUGUAAAGCUCUUUUGUCUGGGAAGAUAAUGACUGUACCGGAAGAAUAAGCCCCGGCUAACUUCGUG
This 431-nucleotide ribosomal RNA is filed under the name uncultured bacterium. RNAcentral's name for it is "partial 16S ribosomal RNA". It matches the Rfam family "Bacterial small subunit ribosomal RNA", at positions 29 to 507 of the family's 1533-position model. The record is from RNAcentral.